RNAcentral lists this ribosomal RNA (229 nucleotides) under uncultured bacterium. RNAcentral describes it as "partial 16S ribosomal RNA". It matches the Rfam family "Bacterial small subunit ribosomal RNA", at positions 568 to 796 of the family's 1533-position model. The record is from RNAcentral.
UACGUAGGCGGAAAAUUAAGUCAGUAGUGAAAUCCUGCAGCUUAACUGUAGAACUGUUAUUGAUACUGGUUUUCUUGAAUAUAGUUGAGGUAGGCGGAAUGUGUAAUGUAGCGGUGAGAUGCUUAGAUAUUACACAGAACACCGAUUGCGAAGGCAGCUUACUAAGCUAUGAUUGACGCUGAGGUACGAAAGCGUGGGGAGCGAACAGGAUUAGAUACCCUGGUAGUCC